CCGAUCAUACCAUCACUAAUGCACCGGAUUCCAUCAGAACUUCUUAGUUAAGCGUGCUUGAGCGAGAUUAGUACUAGGAUGGGUGACCCCAGGGUAGGCCUUAUGUUGCACCCC
This is a non-coding RNA of Ilex paraguariensis (yerba mate), 114 nucleotides long. NCBI's taxonomy places the organism in Eukaryota, Viridiplantae, Streptophyta, Magnoliopsida, Aquifoliales, Aquifoliaceae. The record is from the annotation of a GenBank genome assembly.